Molecule: ribosomal RNA, 458 nt
Filed under: uncultured bacterium
Lineage: Bacteria
Description: partial 16S ribosomal RNA
Rfam family: Bacterial small subunit ribosomal RNA
Source: RNAcentral
CCUACGGGUGGCAGCAGUGGGGAAUAUUGCACAAUGGGGGAAACCCUGAUGCAGCGCCGCCUCGUGAGUGAAGACUUAAUUCGUUACGUAAAGCUCUAUCAGCAGGGAAGAAAUACUGACCUUCCGGUCAGCAGACGGUACCUGAGUAAGACGCCCCGUCGAACUACGUGACAGCAGCCGCGGUACGACGUAGGGGGCAAGCGUUAUCCGGAUUUACUGGGUGUAACGGGAGCGUAGACGGUGCGCCAAGUCUGUAGUGAAAUGCCGCAGAUUAACUGCGGAACUGCUUUGGAAACUGGCGAACGAGAGUGCGGGAGGGGUAAGCGGAAUUCCUAGUGUAGCGGUGAAAUGCGUAGAUAUUAGGAGGAACACCGGUGGCGAAGGCGGCUUACUGGACCGUAACUGACGUUGAGGCUCGAAAGCGUGGGGAGCAAACAGGAUUAGGUACCCGAGUAGUC